This 292-nucleotide ribosomal RNA is filed under the name uncultured bacterium. Its description in RNAcentral is "partial 16S ribosomal RNA". It matches the Rfam family "Bacterial small subunit ribosomal RNA", at positions 505 to 796 of the family's 1533-position model. The record is from RNAcentral.
GUGUCAGCAGCCGCGGUAAUACGAAGGGGGCUAGCGUUGUUCGGAAUUACUGGGCGUAAAGCGCACGUAGGCGGACUUUUAAGUCAGAGGUGAAAUCCCGGAGCUCAACUUCGGAACUGCCUUUGAUACUGGAGGUCUUGAGUAUGGAAGAGGUAAGUGGAAUUCCGAGUGUAGAGGUGAAAUUCGUAGAUAUUCGGAGGAACACCAGUGGCGAAGGCGGCUUACUGGUCCAUUACUGACGCUGAGGUGCGAAAGCGUGGGGAGCAAACAGGAUUAGAUACCCCAGUAGUCC